RNAcentral lists this ribosomal RNA (508 nucleotides) under uncultured bacterium. Its description in RNAcentral is "partial 16S ribosomal RNA". It matches the Rfam family "Bacterial small subunit ribosomal RNA", at positions 28 to 523 of the family's 1533-position model. The record is from RNAcentral.
GAUGAACGCUAGCUACAGGCUUAACACAUGCAAGUCGAGGGGAAACGAUAGAGAAAGCUUGCUUUUUCUAGGCGUCGACCGGCGCACGGGUGAGUAACGCGUAUCCAACCUGCCCAUCACUUGGGGAUAACCUUGCGAAAGUAAGACUGAUACCCAAUGAUAUCUCUAUAAGACAUCUGAAGGAGAUUAAAGAUUUAUCGGAGAUGGAUGGGGAUGCGUCUGAUUAGCUUGUUGGCGGGGUAACGGCCCACCAAGGCGACGAUCAGUAGGGGUUCUGAGAGGAAGGUCCCCCACAUUGGAACUGAGACACGGUCCAAACUCCUACGGGAGGCAGCAGUGAGGAAUAUUGGUCAAUGGGCGAGAGCCUGAACCAGCCAAGUAGCGUGCAGGAUGACGGCCCUAUGGGUUGUAAACUGCUUUUAUAAGGGAAUAAAGUGAGUCUCGUGAGGCUUUUUGCAUGUACCUUAUGAAUAAGGACCGGCUAAUUCCGUGCCAGCCGCCGCGGUAA